UAGGGAAUCUUCCACAAUGGGCGAAAGCCUGAUGGAGCAACGCCGCGUGUGUGAUGAAGGCUUUCGGUCGUAAAGCACUGUCGUAUGGGAAGAACAGCUAGAAUAGGAAAUGAUUUUAGUUUGACGGUACCAUACCAGAAAGGGACGGCUAAAUACGUGCCAC
This 163-nucleotide ribosomal RNA is filed under the name uncultured bacterium. RNAcentral's name for it is "partial 16S rRNA". It matches the Rfam family "Bacterial small subunit ribosomal RNA", at positions 355 to 511 of the family's 1533-position model. The record is from RNAcentral.